This 229-nucleotide ribosomal RNA is filed under the name uncultured bacterium. Its description in RNAcentral is "partial 16S ribosomal RNA". It matches the Rfam family "Bacterial small subunit ribosomal RNA", at positions 15 to 225 of the family's 1533-position model. The record is from RNAcentral.
GAUCAUGGCUCAGGAUGAACGCUGGCGGCGUGCUUAACACAUGCAAGUCGAACGGAGUGCCCUUGAUUGAGGAUUCGUCCAAAUGAUAGGGUUACUUAGUGGCGGACGGGUGAGUAACGCGUGAGUAACCUGCCUAGGAGUGGGGAAUAACACAGAGAAAUCUGUGCUAAUACCGCAUAAUGCAGUUGGGUCGCAUGGCUCUGACUGCCAAAGAUUUAUCGCUCUUAGA